CCCCCAGGAUGCUUGUUGGACACAGGAGCACUUGUGUGUAAGGAGGAGCACUGAUCUAUCACCCAUGACUGAUGGCU
RNAcentral lists this small nucleolar RNA (77 nucleotides) under Meriones unguiculatus (Mongolian gerbil). RNAcentral describes it as "Small nucleolar RNA SNORD83 (ENSMUGG00000017725.1)". It matches the Rfam family "Small nucleolar RNA SNORD83". Rfam says of the family: U83 (SNORD83) and U84 (SNORD84) are members of the C/D class of snoRNA which contain the C (UGAUGA) and D (CUGA) box motifs. They act as guanine methylation guides but lack complementarity to ribosomal RNA. Lineage: Eukaryota; Metazoa; Chordata; Mammalia; Rodentia; Muridae. The record is from RNAcentral.